AGCCAUCCGAAUCCAUGUUGAAAUUUUGUCAGACACCAACCCAUUAGGGCUGAUCAGACUUCCAAGAUAAGUGAAGUU
RNAcentral lists this microRNA precursor (78 nucleotides) under Schistosoma curassoni. RNAcentral's name for it is "mir-3492 microRNA precursor family". It matches the Rfam family "mir-3492 microRNA precursor family". The record is from Rfam by way of RNAcentral. Lineage: Eukaryota; Metazoa; Platyhelminthes; Trematoda; Strigeidida; Schistosomatidae.